RNAcentral lists this ribosomal RNA (468 nucleotides) under uncultured bacterium. RNAcentral's name for it is "partial 16S ribosomal RNA". It matches the Rfam family "Bacterial small subunit ribosomal RNA", at positions 28 to 507 of the family's 1533-position model. The record is from RNAcentral.
GACGAACGCUGGCGGCGUGCUUAACACAUGCAAGUCGAACGGAAAGGCCCUGCUUUUGUGGGGUGCUCGAGUGGCGAACGGGUGAGUAACACGUGAGUAACCUGCACUUGACUUUGGGAUAACUUCAGGAAACUGGGGCUAAUACCGGAUAGGAGCUCCUGCUGCAUGGUGGGGGUUGGAAAGUUUCGGCGGUUGGGGAUGGACUCGCGGCUUAUCAGCUUGUUGGUGGGGUAGUGGCUUACCAAGGCUUUGACGGGUAGCCGGCCUGAGAGGGUGACCGGCCACAUUGGGACUGAGAUACGGCCCAGACUCCUACGGGAGGCAGCAGUGGGGAAUAUUGCACAAUGGGCGGAAGCCUGAUGCAGCAACGCCGCGUGCGGGAUGACGGCCUUCGGGUUGUAAACCGCUGUCGCCUGUGACGAAGCGUGAGUGACGGUAAUGGGUAAAGAAGCACCGGCUAACUACGUG